Molecule: transfer RNA, 74 nt
Filed under: Chlorobiota bacterium
Lineage: Bacteria; Pseudomonadati; Chlorobiota
Description: tRNA-Ala
Rfam family: tRNA
About the family: Transfer RNA (tRNA) molecules are approximately 80 nucleotides in length.
Source: RNAcentral
GGGGCAUUAGCUCAGUUGGCUAGAGCGUUUGACUGGCAGUCAAGAGGUCAGGGGUUCGAUUCCCCUAUGCUCCA